RNAcentral lists this long non-coding RNA (320 nucleotides) under Prunus persica (peach). Its description in RNAcentral is "long non-coding RNA (PPER_LNC001328)". Lineage: Eukaryota; Viridiplantae; Streptophyta; Magnoliopsida; Rosales; Rosaceae. The record is from RNAcentral.
UUGAAUGACUCAAUAUGAACUCAAAUCAAACUUGCCUACUAAAAUCAAGGAAAUGAAUCCUGCACGCUUAAGCAUAUAUAUAAUACCUAUAAUAUUAAUAUACAUAAUAUAUACUUUUAAAAAAAAUUUCGAGUCUCUUAAAAAUUUGGAACCCAUAUGCUUUUGCUUUGCUUAAUCACUUAUUUUGGAUCUCCUUAUGGGGAAAAAAAAAAAAAACAUUGCUGCUGCUGCUGCCUCCCCCAUCCAGAUGCUCUUUAUUAUUGAACCACUGCAAUUUGCGACAUAUAUUUUUAUGCCUUUUUGCAAAAGAUGGGUUUGAC